This 422-nucleotide ribosomal RNA is filed under the name uncultured bacterium. RNAcentral's name for it is "SSU rRNA". It matches the Rfam family "Bacterial small subunit ribosomal RNA", at positions 369 to 808 of the family's 1533-position model. The record is from RNAcentral.
CCAUGGGGGAACCCUGAUGCAGCGACGCCNCGCUGGAGGAAGAAGGUCUUCCGAUUGUAAACUCCUGUUGUUGGGGAAGAUAAUGACGGUACCCAACAAGGAAGUGACGGCUAACUACGUGCCAGCAGCCGCGGUAAAACGUAGGUCACAAGCGUUGUCCGGAAUUACUGGGUGUAAAGGGAGCGCAGGCGGGAAGACAAGUUGGAAGUGAAAUCUAUGGGCUCAACCCAUAAACUGCUUUCAAAACUGUUUUUCUUGAGUAGUGCAGAGGUAGGCGGAAUUCCCGGUGUAGCGGUGGAAUGCGUAGAUAUCGGGAGGAACACCAGUGGCGAAGGCGGCCUACUGGGCACCAACUGACGCUGAGGCUCGAAAGUGUGGGUAGCAAACAGGAUUAGAUACCCUGGUAGUCCAAGGGCGAAUUC